CUUUAAGGUACGGUGAUCAUGUCUUUAAGGUACGGUGAUCAUGUCUUUAAGGUACGGUGAUCAUGUCUUUAAGGUACGGUGAUCAUGUCUUUAAGGUACGGUGAUCAGGUCUUUAAGGUACGGUGAUCAGGUCUUUAAGGUACGGUGAUCAUGUCUUUAAGGUACGGUGAUCAUGUCUUUAAGGUACGGUGAUCAUGUCUUUAAGGUACGGUGAUCAUGUCUUUAAGGUACGGUGAUCAUGUCUUUAAGGUACGGUGAUCAUGUCUUUAAGGUACGGUGAUCAGGUCUUUAAGGUACGGUGAUCAGGUCUUUAAGGUACGGUGAUCAUGUCUUUAAGGUACGGUGAUCAGGUCUUUAAGGUACGGUGAUCAGGUCUUUAAGGUACGGUGAUCAUGUCUUUAAGGUACGGUGAUCAGGUCUUUAAGGUACGGUGAUCAUGUCUUUAAGGUACGGUGAUCAUGUCUUUAAGGUACGGUGAUCAUGUCUUUAAGGUACGGUGAUCAUGUCUUUAAGGUACGUGAUCAUGUCUUUAAGGUACGGUGAUCAUGUCUUUAAGGUACGGUGAUCAUGUCUUUAAGGUACGGUGAUCAUGUCUUUAAGGUACGGUGAUCAUGUCUUUAAGGUACGGUGAUCAGGUCUUUAAGGUACGGUGAUCAGGUCUUUAAGGUACGGUGAUCAUGUCUUUAAGGUACGGUGAUCAUGUCUUUAAGGUACGGUGAUCAUGUCUUUAAGGUACGGUGAUCAUGUCUUUAAGGUACGGUGAUCAGGUCUUUAAGGUACGGUGAUCAGGUCUUUAAGGUACGGUGAUCAGGUCUUUAAGGUACGGUGAUCAUGUCUUUAAGGUACGGUGAUCAUGUCUUUAAGGUACGGUGAUCAGGUCUUUAAGGUACGGUGAUCAGGUCUUGAAACGUUCCUGUGUUUCCUUUUCAUUAGUAUAUAUUUACAUAUUACAUAUCUUUAAUAUAUUUACGUUUCAUUUGGAGAUGUCUGUCGCGAAGGACACACACCUUUUUUGGGGGAGAAACUGACACUGUCAAACUAUUGGCAGGGACUUGAUGAUGAAAGCCUUUACUGCUCUCCAAUUGGCUGCGUCAGAGUUCUCAUGCUAAUGAGGCUCCCUUAUUUCUGUCCAAUGAACUGGAGGAAGGGAGAAACUCGCCAAUCAACAGCCAACAAAGUACCAUUCUAUUUGAAUUGAAGUGAAUGUACAUAAUGUACAUGUCUGUGAGAUAAUUUAUCUUUCCUUGGAUUCUUUAAGGUCCUUUUCC
Oncorhynchus keta (chum salmon) is the source of this 1268-nucleotide long non-coding RNA. RefSeq lists it as uncharacterized. The record is from RefSeq and is a predicted model, not a curated record. The transcript has 7 exons. NCBI's taxonomy places the organism in Eukaryota, Metazoa, Chordata, Actinopteri, Salmoniformes, Salmonidae.